Molecule: ribosomal RNA, 404 nt
Filed under: uncultured bacterium
Lineage: Bacteria
Description: bacterial SSU rRNA
Rfam family: Bacterial small subunit ribosomal RNA
Source: RNAcentral
UGGGGAAUAUUGCACAAUGGGGGAAACCCUGAUGCAGCAACGCCGCGUGAGUGAAGAAGUAUUUCGGUAUGUAAAGCUCUAUCAGCAGGGAAGAAAAUGACGGUACCUGACUAAGAAGCACCGGCUAAAUACGUGCCAGCAGCCGCGGUAAUACGUAUGGUGCAAGCGUUAUCCGGAUUUACUGGGUGUAAAGGGAGCGCAGGCGGUCUGGCAAGUCUGAUGUGAAAAUCCGGGGCUCAACUCCGGAACUGCAUUGGAAACUGUCAGACUAGAGUGUCGGAGAGGUAAGUGGAAUUCCUAGUGUAGCGGUGAAAUGCGUAGAUAUUAGGAGGAACACCAGUGGCGAAGGCGGCUUACUGGACGAUAACUGACGCUGAGGCUCGAAAGCGUGGGGAGCAAACAGG